This 436-nucleotide long non-coding RNA is filed under the name Mus caroli (Ryukyu mouse). Its description in RNAcentral is "predicted gene 28620 (MGP_CAROLIEiJ_G0006796.1)". Lineage: Eukaryota; Metazoa; Chordata; Mammalia; Rodentia; Muridae. The record is from RNAcentral.
AACGUGGAUCUUAGGGAUCUUCCUGUGCUAAACCUGGGCCCAGACCAAGAGGACUCACAGCACAGUGCUUUGACCAUCUUGACCAGAACCACAAAAGACAGGAAAUUUCUCAGAAAUGGAUGUUCUCAACUGACUUCCAAACCUUAGGUAUGUCCUCUUAGGUAAGUGUUAGGAAAAAUACGAUGCCUCUGGAGCCAGUUUCCAAGCCACAGGAAGCCAUAUAAGAUCAAGUUGUCUGCUCUCUGAAGCUUUGAAAAAUACAUUUUCUUUGUCUUUGUGUUUCUCUGAAACUUCAAUAUUCAAACUCCCUAGGAUAGGCUAAAAGAUAGCAACAGUAGAUGAGAUUUUCAUCUCAUAUCACAUAGGUAAUAGCCUUGAGCAGUUCCAGUGUUCAACAUCUAUUUAAAUGACUUUCAAUCAUAAACAUUAUCUUUCU